AGUGAACGCUGGCGGUAUGCCUAACACAUGCAAGUCGAACGGCAGCACAGGAGAGCUUGCUCUCUGGGUGGCGAGUGGCGGACGGGUGAGGAAUACAUCGGAAUCUACUUUGUCGUGGGGGAUAACGUAGGGAAACUUACGCUAAUACCGCAUACGACCUACGGGUGAAAGCAGGGGACCUUCGGGCCUUGCGCGAUUGAAUGAGCCGAUGUAGGAUUAGCUAGUUGGCGGGGUAAAGGCCCACCAAGGCGACGAUCCGUAGCUGGUCUGAGGGGAUGAGCAGCCACACUGGAACUGAGACACGGUCCAGACUCCUACGGGAGGCAGCAGUGGGGAAUAUUGGACAAUGGGCGCAAGCCUGAUCCAGCCAUACCGCGUGGGUGAAGAAGGCCUUCGGGUUGUAAAGCCCUUUUGUUGGGAAAGAAAUCCAGCUGGCUAAUACCCGGUUGGGAUGACGGUACCCAAAGAAUAAGCACCGGCUAACUUCGUGCCAGCCGCCGCAGUAA
RNAcentral lists this ribosomal RNA (506 nucleotides) under uncultured bacterium. RNAcentral describes it as "partial 16S ribosomal RNA". It matches the Rfam family "Bacterial small subunit ribosomal RNA", at positions 29 to 523 of the family's 1533-position model. The record is from RNAcentral.